AUGCUUGUUAUGCAUGAAGAAAAUGAGGGCAGAUUUGGUUCCACUGUUGAGGAGAAGAUCACUGUUGUUUCUGAUGAAACCAUCAACCUUGUGGAUGGUGACGAGAUGAUUUGGAUAUCGGACAGCGAUGCUACCAUUCAUGCUACAUCUCGCAGAGAGCUCUUCACUAACUAUAUAACAGGUGAUUUUGGUGUUGUGAAGAUGGGGAACAAUAAUAGAGCAGCUAUCAUUGGAAAAGGAGAUGUGUAUUUGGAGACCGCAAAUGGUAUAAGGUUAGUCGUCAAAUCUGUGAGGCAUGUUGAGGCACUUCGUCUCAAUAUUAUUUCAGUUGGUUUGCUUGAUGGAGAUGAUUACUUGAGCAGUUUUGGAAAAGGGCAGUACAAGCUCACUAAAGGCAACAUGAUUGUUGCAAGAGGUAAAAUGGUCUCAGUGUUGUAUCAUGUUCAUGCUAAGCUCUUUAGUGCUUCUGUCAACGCACUAGAGAAGGAUGAUCAUUGUGCUUUAUGGCACAAGAGACUUGGGCACAUGAGUGAGAAGGGGAUGACAGUGCUAGUGAAGAAAAAAUUGUUGAAGGGUGUGAAAAGAGUUCACAUCAAGAAAUGUUCAGAUUGUCUAGCAGGGAAGCAACACCGAGUUGCCUUCAAGACUCUACCUCCUCACAAGAAGCCCGAGAAGCUGGACUUGAUACAUUCCGAUGUUUGCAAAAUGCCGGUAAGAUCUCUUGGUGGUGCUAAGUACUUUGUGACUUUUAUUGAUGACUUUUCCAGGAAAGUUUGGGCCUUCACUUUGAGGACCAAAGAUCAAGUACUAGGUGUAUUUAAGCAAUUCCAAGCCUCGGUCGAGAGAGAAACUGAGAAGAAGAUCAAGUGCAUUCGCACUGAUAAUGGAGGAGAGUAUAUUUGGCCAUUUGAUGCAUAUUGCAAGCAGCAAGGUAUUAGACAUCAAUUUACUCCCUCGAAGACACCACAGCUGAACGGUCUUUGCUGA
This 987-nucleotide ribosomal RNA is filed under the name Triticum aestivum (bread wheat). RNAcentral describes it as "partial small subunit ribosomal RNA". The record is from RNAcentral. Lineage: Eukaryota; Viridiplantae; Streptophyta; Magnoliopsida; Poales; Poaceae.